Molecule: ribosomal RNA, 479 nt
Filed under: Priceiella nanlingensis
Lineage: Eukaryota; Metazoa; Arthropoda; Insecta; Psocodea; Philopteridae
Description: partial large subunit ribosomal RNA
Rfam family: Bacterial large subunit ribosomal RNA
Source: RNAcentral
CUCCUCUUGAAUAUCAUAGGAGGUAUGAUCUGCUCCAUGCAGAAGUAAAUUGCCGCAGUAUCUUGACUGUGCUAAGGUAGCAAAAUAAUUUGGCUUUUAAUUGGAGUCUGGAAUGAAUGAUUUGACAAGGUCUAGUCUGUCUUUCCUAUUAUCCUCGAAAUUAGAAUUUCUGUAAAAAUACAGAAAUAUGUGAGAGGGACGAAAAGACCCUAUAGAUCUUUACUCUUCGGAUUAAAUAGAUAUAAAGAUUUAUUAGGUUGAGUUUCCUUGGGGCAAGGCUAAAAGUUGAAUUUUGGUUGAAGGAAAAGACUGAUUAGUCAAAAAGACGAAAAAAAAUAAGAUAAGUUACCUUAGGGAUAACAGGAUAAUUUCUUUACUUAGAACUUAUAAGAAAAGGAGUUUGUCACCUCGAUGUUGAAUUAAGUUUUCUUUUAUUCGAAGAAGAAUAUGGAGUUAGUCUGUUCGACUAUUAAAAACUU